RNAcentral lists this ribosomal RNA (497 nucleotides) under uncultured bacterium. RNAcentral describes it as "partial 16S ribosomal RNA". It matches the Rfam family "Bacterial small subunit ribosomal RNA", at positions 28 to 507 of the family's 1533-position model. The record is from RNAcentral.
GAUGAACGCUGGCGGCGUGCCUAAUACAUGCAAGUCGAGCGAACGGACGAGAAGCUUGCCUCUCUGAUGUUAGCGGCGGACGGGUGAGUAACACGUGGAUAACCUACCUAUAAGACUGGGAUAACUUCGGGAAGCCGGAGCUAAUACCGGAUAAUAUUUUGAACCGCAUGGUUCAAAAGUGAAAGACGGUCUUGCUGUCACUUAUAGAUGGAUCCGCGCUGCAUUAGCUAGUUGGUAAGGUAACGGCUUACCAAGGCAACGAUGCAUAGCCGACCUGAGAGGGUGAUCGGCCACACUGGAACUGAGACACGGUCCAGACUCCUACGGGAGGCAGCAGUAGGGAAUCUUCCGCAAUGGGCGAAAGCCUGACGGAGCAACGCCGCGUGAGUGAUGAAGGUCUUCGGAUCGUAAAACUCUGUUAUUAGGGAAGAACAUAUGUGUAAGUAACUGUGCACAUCUUGACGGUACCUAAUCAGAAAGCCACGGCUAACUACGUG